UUCGGAAUUACUGGGUGUAAAGGGUUCGUAGGCGGUGCGGCAAGUUGGGAGUGAAAACUCUGGGCUCAACCCAGAGCCUGCAUCCAAAACUGGAGAGCUAGGGUUCUGGAGGGGAAAGCGGAAUUCCUGGUGUAGCGGUGAAAUGCGUAGAUAUCAGGAGGAACACCGGUGGCGAAGGCGGCUUUCUGGACAGAUACCGACGCUGAGGCACGAAAGCUAGGGGAGCAAACAGG
RNAcentral lists this ribosomal RNA (233 nucleotides) under uncultured bacterium. RNAcentral's name for it is "partial 16S ribosomal RNA". It matches the Rfam family "Bacterial small subunit ribosomal RNA", at positions 544 to 776 of the family's 1533-position model. The record is from RNAcentral.